CUGUGCUCUUUUUCCUCAGCGGUAGUCACAGUGUCAGGACCUUAAUGUCAAGACCUCACCAUGGGAGGCACUAGAUAGAGGAGGGAUAAGAAGAGAGACUACAUGGAGCAAUUAAGAAGAAAGAGGAACAGACUAGAGAUGAAGAAAGUAGCCGAACGUGCAAUUGGGUCCCACUGACAAGUUAGCCUGGAGUGCCCUUUCAGGUUUCCACCCCGAGUCGUUGGCCCCAUCCUGUUCACACAGAUUAAGAGGAAGGAAAAAAAGCAUCCCAAGAAAAUGAAAGAGCCGUUCUGUUUCUUACACAUCUGUAGCUUAUUAAGGAGACCAUCAUAACUGAAGACACUCUGACCAAGCAACUUCAGGUUUCCUCUGGUAAAUCAUGAAUAUCCAGUGGUAUCAGAGACUAACAGGAUGGCAUUAAUCACCAGCAAACUGGCAGCAGUGGUGGUAGCCAGCAUGGUGUGAAGUGUGUUAUUUGCUGCAAACACCCUUGGAGGACUGAGAAAUUGCCUAAGAAGCCUAAGUCAUUUGAAGAGAUUGUGGCAUGUUAGAACU
This 555-nucleotide long non-coding RNA is filed under the name Coturnix japonica (Japanese quail). RNAcentral describes it as "lncRNA (ENSCJPG00005009537.1)". Lineage: Eukaryota; Metazoa; Chordata; Aves; Galliformes; Phasianidae. The record is from RNAcentral.